This 348-nucleotide ribosomal RNA is filed under the name uncultured bacterium. RNAcentral's name for it is "bacterial SSU rRNA". It matches the Rfam family "Bacterial small subunit ribosomal RNA", at positions 8 to 350 of the family's 1533-position model. The record is from RNAcentral.
AGAGUUUGAUCCUGGCUCAGGAUGAACGCUAGCUACAGGCUUAACACAUGCAAGUCGAGGGGCAGCAUCAUCAAAGCUUGCUUUGAUGGAUGGCGACCGGCGCACGGGUGAGUAACACGUAUCCAACCUGCCGACAACACUGGGAUAGCCUUUCGAAAGAAAGAUUAAUACCGGAUGGUAUAGUUUUCCCGCAUGGGAUGAUUAUUAAAGAAUUUCGGUUGUCGAUGGGGAUGCGUUCCAUUAGGCAGUUGGCGGGGUAACGGCCACCAAACCUCGAUGGAUAGGGGUUCUGAGAGGAAGGUCCCCCACAUUGGAACUGAGACACGGUCCAAACGUCCUACGGGAGCA